This is a non-coding RNA of Callithrix jacchus (white-tufted-ear marmoset), 2454 nucleotides long. Lineage: Eukaryota; Metazoa; Chordata; Mammalia; Primates; Cebidae. The record is from RefSeq and is a predicted model, not a curated record.
UAGUCGUUAUAAUCGUUGUGGUUACUAGCGGCCCAGGAGGGCCCCGCCGCGCCCUUGCGCCCGAGCGCUCGUAUCCGCCGCGAACGCCGCCUUCCCAGUGCUCUUCUCGCGCGCUCCAGCGCGGUACAGACCGGGUUUCACCAUGUUGACCAGGAUGAUCUCGAUGUCUUGACCUCGUGAUCCACCCGCCUUGGCCUCCCAAAGUGCUGGGAUUACAGGCUUGAGCCACCGCGCCCGGCCUCAUCAAGCCCUUCUUAGGAUCCAGGUGCUCCAGCGGCUCCCUAAAGGCCCGGAGUCAUCCGAGCCUGCUCAUAGCCUUGGACCUCCUGGACAUGCCCUUCCCCACGGUGGGUUUUCAAAACAGAUGCAUUGGCAAUUGGGGGUCUACGCAAUUACCGCCCAGGGCUCCCUGAGCUGAUCCCAGCGCCAGCAGGGACUCCCAGGCAUGUGUGCCAAUGGCUGCAGCGCCCCUCUUGUCCCGAACACUGUCCAGGGCACACCCACACCAUCUUCCUCCUUUCCCGUUUCUCUUUACCCACUUCUAAGCCUCCCUGGAGUUUGGCUUUUCCCAGUGCUUGCCACGGGGUCCAGCAUGCCCACAGUUGCUCAGUAUGUGUGGGCAGAAUUUAAUCGUGUCGAAAUGCCCAGUUAUCUCUGCCUCUGGAGCCCCCACCCGGCACAGCUCCGUCCUGCGUUUUCCUCCCUCUACUAAACUGUAUCGGGCUAUAAAAAAUUUCAGAGGAGUCAGAAUUUUUUUUUUUUUUGACGGAGUUUCGCUCUUGUUACCCAGGCUGGAGUGCAAUGGCGCGAUCUCGGCUCACCGCAACCUCCGCCUCCUGGGUUCAGGCAAUUCUCCUGCCUCAGCCUCCUGAGUAGGUGGGAUUACAGGCAGGCGCCACCAUGCCCAGCUAAUUUUUGUAUUUUUAUUAGAGACAGGGUUUCACCUUGUUUGACCAGGAUGGUCUCGAUCUCUUGACCUCGUGAUCCACCCGCCUCAGCCUCCCAAAGUGCUGGGGUCAGAAUUUAAAGAGAGUAUUCAAGCGCAACAUUUAAGGGCAGCUGCCUGGAAAUGCGGACUCCAGAAAAUGGGGUCAGUUCUCUGAGGUGUGGGGAAGUAGGGGUUGUCUAUACAGGCAAAAUCAGAGGGAACAGCAUUACAGCAGUCUCCAUGCAAGGCUGGCAUAUAGUUUAUAGAGAUUCGGUUGGUUACCGUUAGCUAUUCUAAAGGAUUGCUUGAGAUUCCGCUGUAGAGAGAUGACAGUCACAGGGUGUGAUGGUUAAUACUGAGUGUCAACUUGAUGGGGUUGAAGGAUGCGAAGUAUGAUCCCGGGUGUGUCUGUGAGGCUGCCGCCAAGGGAGAUGGACGUUUGGGUCCGGGCUGGGGAAGGAUGAAGAUUAAGACCCACCCUUAAGGUGGUGGGGACCAUCUAAUCAGCUGCCAGUGAAUGUGAAAAGGCGAGACUGGCCCAGCCUCUCAGCCCACAUCUUUCUUCCCUGCUGGAUGCUUCCUGCCUUCAAUGAUCAGACUCCCAGUUCUUCAGUUUUGAGGCUCGGACCGGCUCUCCUUGUUGCUCAAGCUUGCAGACAGCCUAUUGUGGGACCUUGUGAUCAUGCUGAUGUUUAGCUGCCACUAAUGAAGGCCGCAUGUCUACUGUGUCCGCAACAGGCACCAUGGCCAGCCGGCAGGUGUGCACUCAACUCAACAGUGGCUGGAGAGCCUUCAUGGGGGGCUGGCCCCCAGGGUCAUCUGGACACCUGCUUUGGGCACAGGCUUCCUCAAGGCACUCAGGAUAGCGGCCCUGAGGUACCUUGAGCUGCUCUGAGAAUUCCUUAGGUGGAUAUUGAGUGCCGUUUAGCCUCAAUACUGAGAAGCAAGUCCAGGCACAGUGGUUCACAACUAUAAUCCCAGCACUUUGGGAGGCUGAGGCUGGUGGAUUGCUUGAGCCCAGGAGUUCCAGACCAACCUGAACAAUGGUGGUAAAAACCUGUCUCUACAAAAGAGUACAAAAAUCAGCUGGGUGUGGUGGUGCACGCCUGUAGUCCCAACUACUCAGGAGGCUGAGGUGGGAGGAUCACUUGAGCCCAGGAGGUUGAGGCUACAGUGAGCCAUGACUGCGCCACUGCACUCCAGUCUCGACAACACAGGGAGACCCUGUCUCAACAUAACAAAACAAAGCCAAGAAGCAAGAGGACCUCAGAGGCAGUAGAACUGCACUGUGUUGAGUUGGUGAGGUCAAUGCCCAGAGGCAGUAGAACUGCACUGUGUUGAGUUGGUGAGGUCAAUGCCCCAUAUUUCCGGGUCUUGGUUGUUGAGAGGUAGUUGCUAAUUACCAAGGGUCCCAUGGUCUUGGAUGGGCACGUUCAGCUCUUGGCACACGGUCAUGUGCUGGAAGUAGCCUCUGGUCUGGGUAAACACCACCCUGUUUUGUGGGGAGCCGUGCCCAGAACUCACCU